This 107-nucleotide small nucleolar RNA is filed under the name Gossypium hirsutum (cotton). Its description in RNAcentral is "Plant small nucleolar RNA R71". It matches the Rfam family "Plant small nucleolar RNA R71". Rfam says of the family: R71 is a member of the C/D box family of snoRNAs containing the C (UGAUGA) and D (CUGA) box motifs. The record is from Rfam by way of RNAcentral. Lineage: Eukaryota; Viridiplantae; Streptophyta; Magnoliopsida; Malvales; Malvaceae.
AAUCCAAGCAUAGGACAUUUCUUAAGCAAGUCCUUAAACCUUUCCCACAUUUCAUACAGUGUCUCAUCCUCUAGUUGCCUAAACGAUGUUAUGUCAUUACUCAGUUU